This 27-nucleotide non-coding RNA is filed under the name Rattus norvegicus (Norway rat). Lineage: Eukaryota; Metazoa; Chordata; Mammalia; Rodentia; Muridae. The record is from RNAcentral.
UACCAAGGUUGGAACAAUACAUGGGUA